GCCACUGCGCCCGGCCUGAAGCUCUUUCUUAAUGAGAGCAGGCAGCUCUCAGUGGCUUGGGAUUGAAUCAUUUCCUUGAUGGUGUAUCUAAUCACAGGGGAGGUUGCAGUUGCCUGUAGUCUCUUUCUGGGGGACUUGGGAUCACUUCUCAGUCCAUCUAAUUAGAGGAAAUAAUCUCCAAGUGGAAUUUACUGUUGGUUAAUAAUGCCAUGAAUAGAUGGUUGGGAGCUAUUUUUUAGUUUGUGUAAAAUGCUGGUGUUUGUAUACUGGUUUUGGUUACAAAAAUGAGGUGCUGGCCAAAGAGAGACACUAUUAUGGAGGCCGGCAAGAACACCUCUGUUCAUUCACACCCCCAGGGGUACCAGAAUCUGGAUCUGCUCUGUGCAUAUCCAAUGUGCCUUUCUUCUCGUCAAGUUAGGGUUCAUCAGGUAAUUCUGGACAAGUACACACUGGACAUAGAACUAAAUCAAGCAAUCAAAUACUCAUUUCCUGCCUGUGACAUGCUUUGGUACUGUGCAAAAUCAUUUAAAAUUAGUUUCUCUUCCCUUCAUAAAUUUAUAGGGUGUCUGAGGAAAGAGGACUAACACACACCUUGGAAUGACUAUAUUUAAUUUGUUAUAAGGACUGAAAAAGAGAAAGAUCAGGCUGGGCACGGGGGCUCAUGCCUGUAAUCCGAGCACUUUGGGAGGCCGAGGUGGGUGGAUCACUUGAGGUCAGGAGUUCGAGACCAGCCUGGCCAACAUGGUGAAACCUCAUCCCUACAAAAAAAUACAAAAAUUAGCUGGGAGUGGUGGCGGAUGCCUGUAAUCCCAACUACUCGAGAGACUGAAGCAGAAUUGCUUGAACAUGGGAGGUGGAGGUUGCAGUGAGCCGAGAUCGUGCCACUGUACUCUAGCCUGGGCAACAGAGCAAGACUCUAUUUUGGGGAAAAAAAAAAAAAAAAGAGAAGAAUCAGUGUGGAUUGGACUCCGUAGUGCUUUGUGCCAGAUGUGAGAUUUGAAUGGAGCCUUGAAGGUUGAGAAAGAAUCUGAUAUAACCACUGUCUCCUCCCUUUCGAAGGCACACCACACACUUUGGGCUCAGUUAGUGGUUAUAGAUGCCUUCAGUGCAUUCCAGGAGCAAGCAUUUAUUGUUUUCCUAUUAUAUGCCUGACUUUGGAGAUGCAAAGAAGAACAAGGUCACUGUUUUAUGAAUGGCCGAUUUUAUUCUCCCUGAUGUGGCCAGCUGCAAGCUUCAAAGGGUGGCAUAUACAAAUAAUUAUAGGCUGGUGGGACAAGAGCUAAUGGCGAGAUGUCCAAAGAUCUGUGGGAUCGCCAAGCAGCAGUCAGGGGAAGACAUCAGAUCUUUAUAAAGAUUUUGCUCAAAUGUCGUGUUCUUUAGAAGCAAUUGGGCUCCAUCAAGCAGACAACAUGGGGAAAUUCAAUGCAAUUCAAGAAACAUGUAUUGAUUACCUACUCUGUGCACUGGGAUAUAAAGACAUCAUCAUCAUCAACAGUGUUGCUGUAUUCCAAGGACAUAAUUUUACAUGUAUUAUUUUAUUUAAUCAUAAACAACUUCAAUGAUACAGGUGUUUAUUAUUAUCUCUAUUUAGGUAACACAUUCAACCUUUAGAGAAUUUCGAUAACCUGCCCUUUCACACUUAGCUGGUACGGAAUAGGUCUUGGAAUGGGACCUAGAUCUCUGAGCCCUCGAUGUCCACACUUUUCACCAGUACCCUGGUCCCCUUGCUCAGAGAGCACCUAGAAAAGAUCUGUAAGCAAAGAAUUGCAAUACAAGGGUUGAUGCAAUGUAUGUAAAGGUAGAAUUUGGCAUUAAGUAUAAGUAGGAAGAAGUCAUUAUGGUUUCUUUUUUUCUGGGUGAGAGGUGAAAACACUUCUGUAAGAAUAUUUCCAUUUUUGCAAAAACGUGGGUAGGUAUCUAUCCUAAUGGUAAUACUCAGUAAUGGCAUUGGAUUUCAUUUUAGCCUAUUAAAUGAUUUGAUUCUGCAUGAGAGCAUUUCCUUAGAGUUUUGAUAUCUGGAGUUCUGAACAGCUCACUGGUUUUGGUGGAAAAUUGACUAUUAAUAUUUUAUAGGCUUGUUUUGAUCAUUUGUGAUGCUAAGUGAAUCACAUCUAUUCAUAGCUCCAAGUUUUCAAAUUCUGAAAUCUUUUAGAAUUGUCUGGUUAAAACCAGUUCUCUUCUUUCAGUUCAUUAGCUUACCAAGUGAGCCAAAAAUAAAGAAAAUCGAAAUAUAUUUUCCAAUUCAAUCUAGAAAGUUAUUUAUAGUUACCCACUGUUAUCUCUUUCUUUAAAAAAUUUUCUCUUUUCUUUUUAUUUCCCCCCCUCUCUUCCUGAGAGGGUUAUAAACACUGUGAAUAUUUUACAUCUAAAUGCUAAAUCCUCUCAAGCUUUUUUGGAAUCUAUAUCAGGUGCCAGAUUGUCAUAAUAACAUUUUAUGAAAUACUGUGAAUAAACAAACAAACCAAGAGUUAGCUCUUCAAAGCCAGUGGUUCAUAGGCUUUAUCCAGUACCUGGUGAACAUCCACUUGGCCAGCCUCUGACUGCAGUAGAUGUGGACUGCUCUGGACCUUGGCAGUCAAGAGGAAGAGAGGGAAGGAAAGCCCUUUUAUAGUUACUAGUUCCCUUUUGAUCACACAUCCCAGCAUGAACUGCUUCAAAGAAAUAGCAUGAAGAGUGGUUAGACGCCCCCACGGGCCCGCAGCAGCCCAUUCAACAAGAAGCAAAAGUAAAACUGCUUCUGGUGGAAUCAGCAACAUUAUAGUUCACCUGCGGGGGCAUCAGGCUUUUACUGCUUGCCUUGGGAGUGGCUCAUCUCAUUUUCUUUAGGAAAGUGAGAUCCAAAGCCCUGACUUAGAAACAAAAGUUUUGGAACACAAACUCUUUGUAAAUUAGGUGAUCCCUAAACUUAAAACAUCCAGGCGAGAUGAAAGACCCCUUAAAAAAGAAAUUUCUAGCCGGGUGCUGUGGCUUAUGCCUGUAAUCCCAGCACUUCGGGAGGCUGAGGUGGCAGGAUUGCUUGAGGCUAGGAGUUUGACAUCAGUCUGGGCGCCAUAGGGAGACUCCUGUUUCUACAAACAUUUUAUAAAAAAUUAGGGCAUGAUAGUGCAUACCUGUAGUCUCAGCUACUCAGGAGGCUGAGACAGGAGGAUCCUGUUGAGCCCAGGAGUUGGAGGCUGCAGUUAGCUGUAAUCACACCACUGUGCUCCAGCAGCCUGGCUGACACAGCAAGACUCUAGGAAACAAACAAAAAACCCCAAAAAACAGAAAAAAUAAAUUUACUGAUUAUUUUAAUAUCAUGUGGUAGAAAGCAUUCCCUUUUUCGGGCUGUGUAGCACACUCUUAUUGGAAGGGAAGGCAUAGAUGCUUUGGGUACUCUGAACCAGGGCUCUGGAGCCUUCUCAAAGCCGUUGAAAUGGUUCUUCCGAUGACAUUUUGAGUGGGAGCCCCUACUGAGAAGACAACAACAUGGAGCUACCGUGAUUGAAGCAGGGGAGCGGGGGCAAGCCCCUGGCAUCUCCAAACCCCCCCGACUCUCCUCAUCUUCCCACCCCCAGAGCCUUAAGGAAACCUGGUCUUCUGUAGAGCAUGGUUUUGAAAAAGGCUGCUUAAAAUGAAGACAAAACAAUAGCUACUGCCCACUUAGUUGUUUAUGUGCUUGGCUUAGCUAUUUGCAAUCAUGUUGAAAAUAAGAGGGAUUUGGGGCUCACUGUGCUCUUAAAUGGAGUAUGUGUAAUUUAUGAGGGCAGAUACGAUGAAAGAUGGAAAAUGAUAAUGGAGAGAAUGCAAAUCAUUCUGGAACCUUUGAGUCUUUCUUUUGUAAUCUAUGUUGAUUCUUUUUUAAUCUUCCAGGUUUCUGCAGAGGCAUGAAAACGUGGUUCAUAGGAAGUACGAUAAAUGAUAGUAGUAAGGGUUUUCGACCCUUUAAUCACAGGGACCUGGUGUUCUACUCUCAACCCUCCUGAGAUGACCUGCAUCCUUUUCAUCUGUUUCCCAAGGCCUGGAAAGUUGGUCCUUUGAUUCCUUCCUGGCCCACCCUACUUCCCUUUCCAUCAUUCCCAUAGCUGACGGUGGAGGGAGGUGUGAGUGCUGUAUUUUGGGUGGGCAGGCUCUAGGCUGUUUGUUAAGAGUAAGUGGUUCAGAGUCUGGUAACUGGCCCUUGUAUUAGGCGUUUCAAUAUAUAGUCUAUCUAUCGAGGAGGAUGUUUUAAAAGUAUUAAAUCAGGCUGGGCACAGUAGCUUAUGGCUAUAAUCCCAAUGCUUUGGUAGGCUGAAGCAGGAGGAUCACUUGAGGCCAGGAUUCAAGAUCAGCCUAGGCAACAUAGGGAAACCAUUGUGUUUGCCAAAAAAAAAUAACAAAUAAAAAUAAAUAAGCUAGGCAUGGUGGCUCAUGCUUGUAGCCCCAGCUACUUAGGAGGCUGAGGCAGAAGGAUCGCUUGAGGCCAGGGGUUCAAGGAUGCAGUGAGCUGUGAUCAUGCCACUGCACUCCAGCCUGGGUGACAGAGUGAGACCCUGUCUCUAAAAUUAAAAUAAAUAAAUAAAUAUAUAUAUACACAAUCAAUGCAUUUUUCAUCUUUCUCUCACAUAAAUCAUGCUCUGCCAUCCUGCUUCACACUUGUGGCCCCAGAGAGAGAAACAGAGUGAAGAGUGAGUGGCACUCUGGGAAGGAGGGAAGAUGGUCCCACUUGAAGGGGGGCACCUACCCUACUCCCACUUCUGGCCAUGGUAGAUUGUACGAAGCAAGCAGAAAAUCGGAGACUGAAACAUGACCUCCUCUCUCUCUGCUGACUGCAGGCUCAGAGAUGAAAGUUGGGAGAGGCAGAUUAAACUGCCAAAAGCAGAGAAAACCACCCCACAAAAUGUAUUCCCAAUCUCCUCCCACCUCAGUGGCAGACUUGGGGCCUCUGCAGCAUGGCAGGCAAAGUAAGAAUGUGGGUUGCAUUUCCCAGAAUCUUAGUCUCUCCCAUAGUGUGGAAGGCGAUGGCAGCUGCAAUGUGCCUUGUAGAAGGAUGCUGAGGUGCUUGCUGGGAGCUGCCAGGGGCAUUGCCAUUGCAGGAACAGUGUGGCCCUGGGGCCAGGGGUGGAUGUGCAGGUGGGGAGUAGAGGUUAGACCUCAACGAGAAGCAUGGAAGGAAGUGUCUUCAGGGGGUACCGCUAGGCUGUUCCUGAGCCAAGGAAGAACACACCACAGGGUUACCAGCCACAGAUGCCAACAGAUGCCAACAGAUGCCACAGAUGCCAACAGAUGCCAGCCACAGAUGCCAACAGGGUGCCUGGCACCUGAGAGGACAGGAGACACCACUGAGGCCAAAGGAGUUCGAGGAGAGAAGGAGGGAAUGUGGGCAUGGGUCCCAGGCUUUCUUCUUCCUUCAUUCACACACUCCAGGACAUCAUCUCAGAGGGGAACCAGGAAGCAGGAGGAAAUGGGAAUUGACCUAAGCUGACUGUUUCAGUUGUUGAAUGGACUCAAUGCAACCGAUGGAACUAAAUUUAGUUCUUUCCACUUCCGUGUGGUACGGACUUGUAAAGAAUCACAGGGCAGCUCUAACACAUAAAGAAGCUUGGUUUUCUUUUGUAUCAGAAUACGAGUACAUCGUAAAUAAGUUGCUGACCUGUUGUAUACGCUUUGAUUUUAUUGGGUAAAUAUAGCACUAGACCAGCCACCCAGCGAUCUGGGCUCUCCCCCUGUCCCUGCCACUAAGUGUGACUUUGGGCACUCCUAACCUUUUUCAGGGCAUAAGAUGUAGGUUGUAGUAAAAUUCCUUCCAGUUGUAAUAGUCUCUGAUUUUAGUACAAAAAUGUUCUGCAAUAAUGUCUCAAUGUAGCAAUAAAAGAACUUGAAAAAAAACUGCCAUUAUUUUUUCUUUUCUGCCAAAAUAGCAAUUGUCAGGCCUGCCAUUUCAUUUGACCAUUCUCUAAAUAGCUCCUUCCCUGGACUGGUCUCAGAUAUUGGCUGAAGGUCAUAAUUGGGAGGUCACAUAGAUUUGAGGGAAGUUGAUGGGCAAAUCAGUUUCACAUUGGAAGAUGUUUAAAGAAUGGCACAGGACGAAAGACAAGAAUAGCUACAGUCAUGCUGUUCAUUCACUGAUAGCAACUCAUCAUUUAACUCAGUUGUCGAGCUUCAGUAACCUACGUUCAAAGUCAUUUAUGCCAUGUUACAUGACUUCCUAAUUAGCUCAGUAGAUAUUUUUCAAGUUUUCUAUGUAGAAGUAGAGUAACUCUAUAUAUUUGUAUACUUUUAUGAAAUGUCUUAUUUUAGUUUUACUUCCUAAUGCUUUCUUAUUUUUUUUUGAAUGGCUUUGCUUGAUUAUGUGGUAGCUUUUGAACUUCAAAAGUUGGUCUUGGCUGGGUGUGGUGGCUCAUGCCCGUAAUCCCAGUGCUUUGGGAGUUCGAGGUGGGAGGAUGGCUUGAGGCCAGGAGUUUGAGACCAGGCUGGGCAACAUAGCAAAACCCUGUUCUUGCAAAAAAAAAAAAAAAUUAAAAAAUUCGCUGGGCAUGGUAGCACACACCUGUAGUCCCACCUACUCAGGAGACUGAUGUAGGAGGAUCGCUUGAGCCCAGAAGGUCGAGGUUGUAGUGAGCUGUGAUUGUGCCACUGCACUCCAGCCUGGUCGACAGAGCUAUACCUUGUCUCAAAACAAAAUGAAACAAAACAAAAACAAAAGCAAACAAACAAAAACCAUAUAUCUCAAUUCAGCAUGUCUCUGUGAUCCCUUAUACAGAGGAGCUGAUCUAAAGCAAUCCCAUUUCAUUAAAUUAACAGGCUCAUUAGGGAACUAUUCCUUAAUACCCUUAAUCAACACUCUUAAUUUCCUAACAAUGUAUUUUUUGAAAGGAGGACACUACUUAGACACUACUGUCUCGUAAUGGCCUUAAACAACAAAACCAAAUUUAUAGGACAAUAUAGAAUUCAGAAAAGGCCUCUUGGAGAUAACUCUAGGGGUAACCAGCAGCCUGCGGUAGCCCUUAUUGUGCCCUGAAUGUUUAAACUCUCAUGAAGUACAUAUAUGUGUGCUUAAAAAUUAUAUAUUUUAAGCAGAAAUUAUCUAGCCUACUUGUCAUUUUCCUUUACCUCAGAACUUUGUUUAGAGCACCCAUUAGCUUCAGAAGGACCUUCCCACCGGAAUUCUCUGGGGGCCUUGCAAAAGGAUAAAAACAGGCUCAAGAAAUUCUGUAGAGAAAAGAUGACUAUGUUAACAUCAUUCUUUGAAAAAGCUUCCGUUUGGGACAAUUGUAUUGUAUUCUGAAAUGAGAUACUUGGGCUUCCAAAAUAUGGGUUGUGCUUUGUAAAAUGGAGUUUUUCUCAUUACAAAAUGUUGGAAGAGAGCAAUUAGAAUUUCCUUCUCUGCCUCCUUCCCUCUCUCUUGAUUUUUGGUGAAGUCAAGGGUCAGGAUGAUGCUAAAUCAGAAAUUAAGGCAACACAAAUUUGAUCCCAACUGGUAGAGCUGCUCUGGACCCCUUUUGACUGACACUGAGCUCCUGUUUCUGUGGAAUUUUUCUUAUUUACAGGAAUCCAUGAUCUGUGAAUGUCUUCUAAGAUAAAUCUAAUAAGCAUCUUUAGCUACUGAGUUAGCUUCCUAAGCACACAGUAUUUUAGACACCACACAACUAAAUAUACCAAUUCCAAGCGAUUUACUUAUACAAAAAAGUGAAAUAUAGUAAAACCAAGAAUUCCAUUCUAUUUUUAAUUAGGCAGUCAUAGAGCCUCAAUACUGAUUCUUUUAAAAACCUCUAGAAUGGCUUUAAUGCUUAUAAACCAUUAAAAUUAAAACCAAAGUAGCUCUUAACUAUAUUUCUGCUAUUGGACAGAGAACAUAUCUGUUAUAUAAGUUUUCCUUAGAAUUGGAUAAUUUCCAAGGCUUUGAAUCUUUUUAUUCUAGAAUAUUUUAUUCUUCAUAGGAAUACCACUUAAUGUCUUAGGAGUGUGUAUGUAUAUGGGUUUUUUAUAUACAUAUAUAAUAAAUAUUAUAUGUAAUAUACAUGUAUGUAGAUAUACAUAUAAUAUACAUACAUUACAUACAAUAUGCAUACAGUAGACACCCCUUAUUUGCAGGGAAUAUGUUCCAAGAACCCUAGUGGAUGUCUGAAAACUGCAGAUAGUACCGAACCUUAUAAAUACUGUUGUUUCCUAUGUGUAUAUAUCUACAAUAAAGCUUAAUUUAUAAAUUAGGCACAGGAAGAGAUUAACAACAAUAACUAGUUUACAUUCCCACCAGCGGGUUUUCACUGCAUCCACGCCAACAUCUAUUAUUUUUUGAUUUUUUGAUUAUGGCCAUUCUUGCAGGAGUAAGGUGGUAUCGCACUGUGGUUUUGAUUUGCAUUUACCAGAUCAUUAGUGAUGUUGAGCAUUUUUUCAUAUGUUUGUUGGCCAUUUGUAUAUUUUCUUUUGAGAAUUGUCUAUUCAUGUCCUUAGCUCACUUUUUGAUGUAACCAAAUACCAUCUGUUCCCCAAAAAUCUGUGGAAAAAAAUUUAAAAAUAAAAAACCACAACAAUAACUAAUAGUAAGAUAGAAUAAUUUCAACAGUAUGCUGUAAUAAAAGUUAUGCAAAUGUGGUCUCUCUCUUUCUCGAAAUAUCUUAUUGUACUUUACUCACCUAUUUUCAGCCCACAGUUGACUGUGUAAAGUGAAACUAGGGAUAAGAGGGGACUACUGUACAUAUAUAUAGAUAUGCAUACAAUAUGCAAACAUAUUCAUUAUGCAUAUAAAUAUAUGCAUGUUUUUACAUACAUUUGUAUGACAUCUACCUAUACAUAUAUACACACACACGUAUAUAAUAAUAUAACAAAGUUAACUUGGAAGGACAAUGUUCGGGAAAGUCUUGAAAACCUGAAAGACCAAGAAAACAUGAAGUGUCUUUUCUUUUUUGUUAUGAAUGGCUAAGUAUGAUUUAAUUCACUGCUGGACACUCUAACAGUCACCUUAUUGCAAUUUAAGUUCCCCAUCUGUGAAUUAGCUUUGCAGUCUCUGUGUCUUUUAGUUAUUCCAUAUGUUUUAAGAAAUAGCGAAUGUGAAAAACUGUAACAGAAACAUGUAGUGUUACUUCUGGAAGUGUGGUAAUGAGAUCUUUUUCAAAAUAUUACUGAUUCCAGAGGAUAGAUCACUCAUUCUACUAUAUAACAAGCACAGAUGUAAUUCAAGAGGCUUUACCUGUUUUAGUGGGUCUUUCUCUGUGUAGUUUGUUCAUUAAUUUAAGGUUUUUUAUGUCUGUUUUCAUCUUUGUCCUUUGCUGUAGAUUUUAAACUAGAGGCCAGUGAUCCUAUUUAAUUUAAUGGUUACUAAUAAAUAACCACACUAAGCAAUCGCCUGGAUGAUAUUGUGCCGUCAGAUGAUAAGGGUGAUAAUGUAUGAAAUGAAAUAGAAAGAAUGGAAGGUAGUUUCAUAAAAAGCAAGAGUCUUAUAAGAAUGAAGAACAAGACACUUUUCUGACAGGUGGACAGAUGCUUUUCCAGUUCUUUCUUGGCAUAAAUUACAAAUGGAGAAAAACCUUGGUAUUUUUGGUUUCAAACCUUUACUAGCAAAGAAAUCUCACUGAAGGACCCUCCAUACUUCCUGUAACUUAUCUGUAUAAGGCUGCUUUAAUUAUUUAUUGGUUUAAUCUACAUUUAUUGGAUACCUCCUUUGGCCCAGCCCUGCCAGCUCUUGGGUGCGGGUUGUGUGAGGCGAGAGACCAGCGGCUGUGGGGAGAGAGGGUGAAUGGAGGAAAGACCUGACCCCUGACUUAGAGGUGUUUAUUGGGUCCCCUCAAAAUAUAUUCUCCCAAAUUCUGUGAACAGUUUUUUUUUUCUGUAUUUCAUUCGGCUUUCUCCUCUCAUUCUCCACUGAAAUGUUUAUCCUUUCUUUGAAAGAAACCCCAAAGUGACUCUUUUCCUCUUUCCAUGGAUCAGAUGCCAAAUUCUUUGAGAAAUAUGUAGAAUAAGAAAGGAUCCUUUACCUGGUUUGGAAGGAGCUCUUUCUGUUUUUCUUUCCCCACCCAACACCUGUGCCUUUUUGUCAACUAUUUAUAGAACUCGCUCCUUCUUAAAAUAAUGUGGAUCGAAAAUGGUUUGAUUGCUUCAUGGACACAGGAAGACUUCUCCAAAAAAAGCAACUUUCUUCUUAUUGUUAUCCUUGGCAAAAUUAAAUCAUGUCGUAAACAAUAUCCCAAUCCUCUUGUCAUCCAUCAGACUCUAGAAGGGUGGCUCCUAAUGCUUUUCGGGUCUCGGACCACUGUGGAAAUUUGGUGAAAGCCAUGCAACUCCUCCUUUGGAAAAGUUAUGGUAGCCUGCUUUAGAAUAUAAAUGCAGAAGUUCAGGGUAUAGUGAACUCCAUCAGUGGAACCCUAGAAAGUCUCAAGCUUUAGCAGGAGUGGCUGGGCUGGCCAAGGGAAGGAACAGGGAAGAAGGACUGGUUGGAUUUACAGGUCUCACGGAGAGUGGUGGCAUUGUCACAGAAAGAUUAUGGACUCCCUGCCUUCUAAGCACAAUUUUAUUUUAUCUCCAUUAAAAUAUUAACUCUUUUGGAAACAUGAACUCUUACUGCCUUAAAAAAAGCAAUCUAGCAACAAGUGUUAAAACCUGAAAGACACAAAUACGUUUUGUUCUGGCAAUUCCACUCCUGGGAAUCUCUCCCAUGGAAACAAAAUUAUCAGCAUAGAAAGCGUAAGUACAAGGAUGUCUAUGACAGCACCGUUUGUAGUAGCACAAAACUGGAAACAGAGCGAAAGGUCAUCUGCAAGAGAAUAGUGAGUUACAUUUUGAUAAUCUGCACCAAAGAAUAUGAUGCGAUCAUUUAAAGGAAGGAAAUAGAGCUCUAUAGCCACAUGCCUUGGAGGUAUGCCUGUGAAGUGUUGCUCAGUGAGAAACACAGAUGUAGAAAAGCGUAGAGAUGACCAAACCCUCUGUGUGUGCCUGCGUUUGCGUAUCUAUGUCUAUAUAUGUUUAGCUCUGAUUAGGAAUAUAUGUAUAGGUAGAAAAAUAUGGAUUAAUAUAUUCCAGGUUACUAACAUUGGUUCUUGGGGCUUACAGGGUGAGCCUAGCAAAUAAAGGAAAAAAAAGAUUGCAAUACUUAAAAAAAAAAAAAAGUGUUAGUAUGUCAGUAAUUCAUUGUAUCAGAUUAUACUUAUGGGUGGGUAGAUGUAAAAAUAAAUAAAAUAGUGAUUUUAUUUAAUUUAUUAUUAUUAUUGUUUUGAGACACUUGCUCUGUCACCCAGGCUGAAGUGCAGUGGCAUGAUCACAGCUCACUGCAGCCUUGACUUCCUGGGCUCAAGUGGUCCUCCCACCUGAGCCUCCCGAGUAGCGGGGAUCACAAGUGUGCACCACCAUGCCUGGCUAAUUUUAUUUUAUUUGAAAAGAUGGGGUCUACCUAUGUUGCCCAGGCUGGUCUCGAACUCUUGGGCUCAAGCGAUCCCCCCAUCUUGACCUUGCAAACUUCUGGGAUUACAGGUGCAAGCCACUGUGCCUGGCCAGAUAAUGGUUUUAAAACAGAUUUGCUUAUGUACAUUUUAAAUUUUACUGUUUUACUUCUUCACAGUCAGUAACACUGAGGCUUUACCAUUCAGGCUGCUGGGGACUAAUCUGGCCAAUUUGACCAGCUGGGGGUCUCCCUGCUGAUUUCUUAGAUGGGUAUUCUGUGACUUAUUGCUCUAAAGGCAUUAGGUCUUUUAGCAAAUGUUUAUUGGAUGUCUAUUUUAUGUCAUAUACUAGGCCUUGUGCUCCUUAAAGAACUAAGGUGUGAGUGUGUGUGUGUGUCUGCACAAGUCAGGGACUGUUAACAGCUGCAAUUGAACUUUCUGUCCUCAAUUUGGUAUUUGUCUGUUUAUUUGGUUGUGAGCGUGCAAAAUGGAGGGCAUAAGGUGUUACUCUCAGGCCAGUAAGAACCUAAGAAUUUGUUUGGGUGAGGUCUUGAUUUCCUUUUUUGCCUCUAUUAAAUGGCCUACCCUUAAUUCACCAGUUUCUCCAUAGAAAUGCCUAAAGACCUUGAGAGGUUAAUACUGAAAGGGUUUUAGAGGAAAAAGAAAGGUGAGAUGCUUUCUGUGAGUCAGUGUUUCUCCAAAUAGUCUUUUCCUGCCUACCUGUAUGCAUCACAGUUACCUAGCGAAUAUGGUGAGAAUGCUCAUUCAUGGGCCUGGCCCCAGACCCACUGACAGGGAGGCCCAGAAAUCUGCAUUGUUAAUUCUCCAGGUGAUUCUUUUUUUUUUUGAGAUGAGUCUCGCUUUGUGCCCCAGGCUGGAGUGCAGUGGUGCAAUCUCGACUCACUGCAAGCUCCACCUCCCGGGUUCACACCAUUCUCCUGCCUCAGCCUCCCGAGUAGCUGGGACUACAGGCACCUGCCACCAUGCCUGGCUGAUUUUUUGUAUUUUUAGUAGAGAUGGGGUUUCACUGUGUUAGCCAGGGUGGUCUCGAUCUCCUGACCUCGUGAUCUGCCCGCCUCGGCCUCCGAAAGUACUGGGAUUACAGGCGUGAGCCACCGUGCCCGGCCCAGGUGAUUCUUAUUUACGCUUGUUAAUAUUUGAGAACCAGUUCCAUAGAACGUCGUCCCAAAUAAUGAACACUCCUGGCAUUUUUUUUCCAAAAUUUUACUCUUUUAAUAAAUUUUUCCAAUAUUUCAAUGGCUUUGAAUUUUUAUUUUUUUAUUAAUGAUGCAUUUAUUCAUAACGAUGUCUGCAUUUUAGAGAAGUGUUCAUGAAGAAGAAACUUCUUCAAACAACACUGUUGUUACCAAAUAUCCACUGCAUUCUUAAUGUAAAGGAAUCAAUGUAGGUCAGUUAAAGGCUAGAAUGGUUUAAAAAAAUCAACAAUCUGAUGCUCAAAUUCAAAUGUCUUUAAUAUACACGUACUUAUGUGUAUGCGUAUAAGAAAAAAUUUCAGGUUACAAUGCAUUCUGUUGUUUUGAACUACAGGAAUCAAACCAGAAUUUUUAGCCGUGAUACACAUUUGAUACAUUCAUGGAUUCUUGAUUUUUUGGACGACUUUUGGUUUGUUUAUAAAGUUCCAUAAUAGAGACAAGAACUGAAAGGGUUUUUCAGAUAUUUUUUAUUCCCUUUCAUACAUUUCUUCCCCAAGAAAUUUAGAUACGUUUUGAGAUUUUCAUAAAAUCUUAAAAUAAUUGAAUAGUUUAAGCAAAGGCUAGUUCCUAUGAAAAGCAGAAUUAUAUGACAAUUUUCCUACAUUCCUCAUGUGAUUGUACCUGUGCAGAGAACAACCCUAUUCUGAUUAGAAAGAUCCUGCCUGAGAACCUUUUAGCUUCACAGCAGGAUGUGUACAACCGAAGUCGAUUCAAGAAACUCAUGACGUCAUCCCUCAGUCAAUAAUCAUUGAUUGAAUAGAGUUGGUUUCAGAUGUAGGUAUUAGGUACCAGUAGGGAUACAGAAGGAAAAUUCAUGGUUUCCGUCUUUGAAGAAUAAUCUGGUUCAGAAAAUAGUUCAAAUGUGCAUGUUUUGACAUGGCUUCAUAACAAAAGAUCCUUUCAAUCAAAAUGCUAGGGAAACCAGCAUUAAAGGAGAGAUUGUGGGGCAGGCGAGGUGUUGGCAGCAGGGACAUGGGUUGUCAGGAGACAAUGGAACAGAAACAAGACAUGAGAAAAAGUGUGAGCUUAAUCCAUAAAGCUGUUUCCCUCCAAAGGUGUCAGCUGCAUGGCGUGGGAGGUCAGGCAAGUGGGUCUGUGUUCCCCAGGGUGGGAGAAGCAUUAGUAGAAACAGGUGAUGAAUUCCUUAAUUAGGAUAGGGAAACACUGCAGAAGAGCUGUGGUCUAGGGAUUUUAUGAAAUGCAAAGCUUGGAAAAUUAAAGAAGCCCAAUGUGAAGAAGUUAGGAGGCAGGAUCAAGGUGGCUGUGAAAACAGAGAAGAAAAACUUAGAGCUCCUUUUGGAGAAAAUGGGAUAUUAGGGCUAAAUUUGAAAAAAAAAAAAAAAAAAAAGCCACA
Molecule: long non-coding RNA, 13895 nt
Organism: Homo sapiens (human)
Lineage: Eukaryota; Metazoa; Chordata; Mammalia; Primates; Hominidae
Exons: 2
Source: RefSeq, a predicted model, not a curated record